Molecule: ribosomal RNA, 431 nt
Filed under: uncultured bacterium
Lineage: Bacteria
Description: partial 16S ribosomal RNA
Rfam family: Bacterial small subunit ribosomal RNA
Source: RNAcentral
AACGAACGCUGGCGGCAGGCUUAACACAUGCAAGUCGAACGCCCCGCAAGGGGAGUGGCAGACGGGUGAGUAACGCGUGGGAACAUACCCUUUUCUACGGAAUAGCUCUGGGGAACUGGAAUUAAUACCGUAUACGCCCUACGGGGGAAAGAUUUAUCGGGGAAGGAUUGGCCCGCGUUGGAUUAGCUAGUUGGUGGGGUAAAGGCCUACCAAGGCGACGAUCCAUAGCUGGUCUGAGAGGAUGAUCAGCCACAUUGGGACUGAGACACGGCCCAAACUCCUACGGGAGGCAGCAGUGGGGAAUAUUGGACAAUGGGCGCAAGCCUGAUCCAGCCAUGCCGCGUGAGUGAUGAAGGCCUUAGGGUUGUAAAGCUCUUUCACCGAUGAAGAUAAUGACGGUAGUCGGAGAAGAAGCCCCGGCUAACUUCGUG